RNAcentral lists this ribosomal RNA (464 nucleotides) under uncultured bacterium. RNAcentral's name for it is "bacterial SSU rRNA". It matches the Rfam family "Bacterial small subunit ribosomal RNA", at positions 335 to 795 of the family's 1533-position model. The record is from RNAcentral.
ACUCCUACGGGAGGCAGCAGUAAGGAAUAUUGGGCAAUGGACGCAAGUCUGACCCAGCCAUGCCGCGUGCAGGAUGACGGCCCUAUGGGUUGUAAACUGCUUUUAUACGGGAAAAAAAUAUCCGACGCGAUCGGAAGCUGAUGGUACCGUAUGAAUAAGCAUCGGCUAACUCCGUGCCAGCAGCCGCGGUAAUACGGAGGAUGCAAGCGUUAUCCGGAUUUAUUGGGUUUAAAGGGUGCGCAGGCGGAAUGAUAAGUCAGCGGUGAAAGCUUCCGGCUUAGCCGGAAAAUUGCCAUUGAUACUAUCGUUCUUGAGUUCAGUUGAGGUAGGCGGAAUGUGUCAUGUAGCGGUGAAAUGCUUAGAUAUGACACAGAACACCGAUAGCGAAGGCAGCUUACCAAAUUGACACUGACGCUCAUGCACGAAAGCGUGGGGAUCAAACAGGAUUAGAUACCCUGGUAGUC